This 66-nucleotide transfer RNA is filed under the name Gigantometra gigas. Its description in RNAcentral is "tRNA-Pro". The record is from RNAcentral. Lineage: Eukaryota; Metazoa; Arthropoda; Insecta; Hemiptera; Gerridae.
CAGCAAGUAUUUUAAUAAAAAUAUUAAUUUUGGAGAUUAAAGAUGGGAUUUAUUUCUCCUUGCUGA